RNAcentral lists this ribosomal RNA (232 nucleotides) under uncultured bacterium. RNAcentral's name for it is "partial 16S ribosomal RNA". It matches the Rfam family "Bacterial small subunit ribosomal RNA", at positions 118 to 347 of the family's 1533-position model. The record is from RNAcentral.
UGAGCAAUCUGCCCUUCUCAUCGGAAUAAGCGUUGGAAACGACGUCUAAUGCCGAAUACGACCUCCUUUCGCAUGAUCGGAGGUGGAAAACUCCGGCGGAGAAGGAUGAGAUCGCGGCCUAUCAGCUAGUUGGUGUGGGUAAUGGCCCACCAAGGCGACGACGGGUAGCCGGCCUGAGAGGGUGACCGGCCACACUGGGACUGAGACACGGCCCAGACUCCUACGGGAGNAG